RNAcentral lists this ribosomal RNA (253 nucleotides) under uncultured bacterium. Its description in RNAcentral is "partial 16S ribosomal RNA". It matches the Rfam family "Bacterial small subunit ribosomal RNA", at positions 524 to 776 of the family's 1533-position model. The record is from RNAcentral.
UACGGAGGAUGCGAGCGUUAUCCGGAUUUACUGGGUGUAAAGGGCGCGCAGGCGGGCCGGCAAGUUGGGAGUGAAAUCCCGGGGCUUAACCCCGGAACUGCUUUCAAAACUGCUGGUCUUGAGUGAUGGAGAGGCAGGCGGAAUUCCGUGUGUAGCGGUGAAAUGCGUAGAUAUACGGAGGAACACCAGUGGCGAAGGCGGCCUGCUGGACAUUAACUGACGCUGAGGCGCGAAAGCGUGGGGAGCAAACAGG